GUGAGGAAUAUUGGACAAUGGAUGGAAAUCUGAUCCAGCCAUGCCGCGUGCAGGAAGACGGCCCUAUGGGUUGUAAACUGCUUUUAUACGGGAGCAAUAAGGUCUAUGCAUAGAUUGAUGAGAGUACCGUAUGAAUAAGCAUCGGCUAACUCCGUGCCAGCAGCCGCGGUAAUACGGAGGAUGCGAGCGUUAUCCGGAUUUAUUGGGUUUAAAGGGUGCGUAGGCGGCUUUGUAAGUCAGCGGUGAAAUUUUGCAGCUUAACUGUAAAAGCGCCGUUGAUACUGUGAAGCUAGUAUUUGGUUGCUGUGGGCGGAAUGUGUGGUGUAGCGGUGAAAUGCAUAGAGAUCACACAGAAUAUCGAUUGCGAAGGCAGCUCACAAAGCCAAUAUUGACGCUGAGGCACGAAAGUGUGGGGAUCAAACAGGAUUAGAAACCCCAGUAGUCC
RNAcentral lists this ribosomal RNA (445 nucleotides) under uncultured bacterium. RNAcentral's name for it is "partial 16S ribosomal RNA". It matches the Rfam family "Bacterial small subunit ribosomal RNA", at positions 354 to 796 of the family's 1533-position model. The record is from RNAcentral.